This 1203-nucleotide ribosomal RNA is filed under the name Saccharomyces cerevisiae (brewer's yeast). The record is from RNAcentral. Lineage: Eukaryota; Fungi; Ascomycota; Saccharomycetes; Saccharomycetales; Saccharomycetaceae.
AUGAAAUUAAAAUUAUUAAAUAUAAUUUUAUCAAUAAUAAAUAAACUUAAUAAUAAUAAUAAUAUUAUUAUUAAUAAUCUAUUAGAUUCAUUAAUAAAUAAGAAAUUAUUAUUAAAGAAUAUAUUAUUAGAUAUAAAUAAUAAAAAAAUAAAUAAUAUAAAAAGAAUAUUAAAUAAUAAUAAUAUAAAUAUUAAUAAUAAAUUACAACAUUUAAAUAAUAUAAAUAAUUGAAAUCUACAAAUUUAUAAUUAUAAUAAAAAUAUAGAAAUUAUAAAUACUAUAAAUGAUAAAUUAAUUAAUAAAUUAUUAUAUAAAAUAAUAACUUUAAAAUUAAAUAAUAUAAACCCCGCGGGACCAAUCCGGUGAACAACCGGAUUGGCGCCCGCGGGGAAUAUUAAUAAAAUUAUUAUAAGUAAACUUAUUAAUCAACAUAGUUUAAAUAAAUUAAAUAUUAAAUUUUAUUAUUAUAAUAAUGAUAUUAAUAAUAAUAAUAAUAAUAAUAAUAAUAAUAAUAAUUAUUAUAUAAAUAUAAUAAAUAAAUUAAUAAAUAUUAUAAAUAAUAAUAUAAAUAAUAAUUUAUGUAAUAUUUUAAGUUAUUAUUAUAAUAAAAAAGUAACUAUUGAACCUAUUAAAUUAUCAUAUAUUUAUUUAAAUAGUGAUAUUUUUAGUAAAUAUAUUAGUUUAAAUGAUAUAGAUAAAUAUAAUAAUGGUAUCUUAACUAAUUAUCAACGUAUAUUAAAUAAUAUUAUGCCUAAAUUAAAUGAUCAUAAUAUUUCUAUAAAUUAUAUUAAUAAUAUUAAUAAUAUUAAUAAUAAUAAAUAUAAUAAUAUAAUUAAUUUAUUAAAUAAUAAUAAUAAUAUUAAUAAUAAUAAUAAUUAUAAUAAUAAUAAUAAUAAUUAUAUUGGUAAUAUUAAUAAUAUUUAUAAUAAUAUAACUAUUGAUAAUAUUCCUAUAGAUAUUUUAAUAUAUAAAUAUUUAGUUGGUUGAUCUAUUAAAUUUAAAGGUAGAUUAAGUAAUAAUAAUGGUAGAACUAGUACACUUAAUUUAUUAAAUGGUACUUUUAAUAAUAAAAAAUAUUUAUGAAGUAAUAUUAAUAAUAAUUAUAAAUUAAAUUAUAUCCCUUCUAAUCAUAAUUUAUAUAAUAAUUCUAAUAUUAAUAAAAAUGGUAAAUAUAAUAUUAAAGUUAAAUUAAACUUUAUUUAA